Long non-coding RNA from Gallus gallus (chicken), 1069 nucleotides. NCBI's taxonomy places the organism in Eukaryota, Metazoa, Chordata, Aves, Galliformes, Phasianidae. The record is from Ensembl.
CUCGCACAAAGCCUUAUCCCUUGCCCCAACCAUUUCUUUCUUUCUUUCUUUUCUGUCCCCUAUCUCUUCCCUAGUGUUUCCAGAGAAUGAAAAGAAAUGCUCCCUUUCUUCUUUGCUCUCAGUUUCUUUUAUGAGGCAGAAAAAGAUAACUGGACAAAGUUUAAAAUCUAAAAUGUAUUAACAGUUAUGCUUUCUUGCUUUUUGUCUAGUUUUCUGUUUUGGCACUAGGCUUGUUUUGGCAUUUCAUACCAGUCCCAGUUGUUCCCUCCCUGCUAGGCUUGGCUCUCAGGAGUGGAACUGUACUUCUGAGGAGGUUUAAACAAGCAACAACAAAAAAAUAGGCACUAAACAAUUAGUAGGAGUCCAGCACUAACAUACUGGCUUUGCAAGGAUCCACCAGCAUGACUCAGCAGCCUGCAAGCCUGAGCUCCAGUUGCAAGUGGUUACUACUACCUUCUCCUGUUCCACUUGUAGAAAAAAAGAAAAAAAGAAGAUCCCAAUAAGUUUGAGGACUAGAGGAAGAUGGGACGAUAUUGAAUUUGAAUAAUAAACCAGUAAAUAACCUAAAAAAAAAAAAAAUUUAGAAGACAAGGAACUAUCAUAAAGUAUGUCUCAGGAGUUUCUGUAAUUCCCAGAGUUUGAGCCUGCAUAAAUAGGAAAUAAAAGAUGAUGAAGUCUUAGCUGCCUGUGAAAACCCACCCUUAUAGUAGGACCAAGCAAGGAUGGGUAUACUUUCCUGAUAAUAAGAACUGAUAAAUCAAUUAAGUGCAUUAGCGGGGUAUAUAAAACUUUUGAAUAAUGUUAUUCAUGAGGUAACUGCCUAGCCUCUGUGUGCAGGGCAUGCUUGUGACAAGAAGGAAUGAUCAAAGACAGCUCAGGAAGAAAGAAAGUCUUAAAGCUCAUGGAGAUUACUUCAGCCACCAUGCUAGUUUCAUUGUGACAGCUGCAGCCUGUGAUAGGAGAAUUAUUCCUGGUGUUUGCAGCCUGCUGUAGGAGAGGAGAAGCAGCCAAGGAACAUCAGUAUUCAACACAAAUUCUGGGUGAAAGUUGCUGCAAGCAUGAGAUUUAA